UGCAGAUUAAGACUAGACGAUUUCCUAGGCAGAUAUUAACUUGGGACUAUAUUGAGUGGAAGCACAGCCAAAGCACUGCUACAUGGGCGCAGAGAUCACGCAGCACCUUAAACCCCCCAACUUCCUUCAACAUACCCGGCAUGAAUAGCUGGCUAUUUCUCCUACAGCAGACAGUGAAUGGCCAUGAACAUGGCGGAUUUUGUGAGAGACGAAGAGGAUGAUUUCUCAGACUGUCGU
Molecule: long non-coding RNA, 237 nt
Organism: Etheostoma spectabile (orangethroat darter)
Lineage: Eukaryota; Metazoa; Chordata; Actinopteri; Perciformes; Percidae
Exons: 3
Source: RefSeq, a predicted model, not a curated record